AGAACGAACGCUGGCGGCAUGCCUAAUACAUGCAAGUCGAACGAACUCUUCGGAGUUAGUGGCGCGCGGGUGCGUAACGCGUGGGAAUCUGCCCCUUGGUUCGGAAUAACAGUUGGAAACGACUGCUAAUACCGGAUGAUGUCGAAAGUCCAAAGAUUUAUCGCCAAGGGAUGAGCCCGCGUAGGAUUAGCUAGUUGGUGAGGUAAAGGCUCGCCAAGGCAACGAUCCUUAGCUGGUCUGAGAGGAUGAUCGAGCCACACUGGACUGAGACACGGCCCAGACUCCGUACGGGAGCAGCAGUAGGGAAUAGUGGACAAGUGGGAC
This 324-nucleotide ribosomal RNA is filed under the name uncultured soil bacterium. Its description in RNAcentral is "bacterial SSU rRNA". It matches the Rfam family "Bacterial small subunit ribosomal RNA", at positions 26 to 378 of the family's 1533-position model. The record is from RNAcentral.